RNAcentral lists this transfer RNA (72 nucleotides) under Aquihabitans sp. RNAcentral's name for it is "tRNA-Gly". It matches the Rfam family "tRNA". From Rfam's summary of the family: Transfer RNA (tRNA) molecules are approximately 80 nucleotides in length. Lineage: Bacteria; Bacillati; Actinomycetota; Acidimicrobiia; Acidimicrobiales; Iamiaceae. RNAcentral also lists the same sequence under 1 other name. The record is from RNAcentral.
GCGGGUGUAGCUCAAUGGCUAGAGCUUCAGCCUUCCAAGCUGAAGAUGCGGGUUCGAUUCCCGUCACCCGCU